UGGGGAAUUUGGACAAUGGGCGCAAGCCUGAUCCAGCCAUGCCGCGUGUGUGAAGAAGGCCUUCGGGUUGUAAAGCACUUUCAGCGAGGAGGAAGGUGGUGAGCUUAAUACGCUCAUCAAUUGACGUUACUCGCAGAAGAAGCACCGGCUAACUCCGUGCCAGCAGCCGCGGUAAUACGGAGGGUGCAAGCGUUAAUCGGAAUUACUGGGCGUAAAGCGCACGCAGGCGGUUUGUUAAGUCAGAUGUGAAAUCCCCGGGCUCAACCUGGGAACUGCAUUUGAAACUGGCAAGCUAGAGUCUCGUAGAGGGGGGUAGAAUUCCAGGUGUAGCGGUGAAAUGCGUAGAGAUCUGGAGGAAUACCGGUGGCGAAGGCGGCCCCCUGGACGAAGACUGACGCUCAGGUGCGAAAGCGUGGGGAGCAAACAGGAUUAGNUACCCUGGUAGUCCACGCUGUAAAACGAUGUCGAUUUUGGAGGUUGUGCCCCUUGAGGCGUGGNUUCCGGAGCUAACGCGUUAAAUCGACCGCC
This 528-nucleotide ribosomal RNA is filed under the name uncultured bacterium. RNAcentral's name for it is "partial 16S ribosomal RNA". It matches the Rfam family "Bacterial small subunit ribosomal RNA", at positions 356 to 873 of the family's 1533-position model. The record is from RNAcentral.